ACUCCUACGGGAGGCAGCAGUGGGGAAUAUUGCACAAUGGGGGAAACCCUGAUGCAGCCAUGCCGCGUGUGUGAAGAAGGCCUUGGGUUGUAAAGCACUUUCUAGUAGGGAGGAAGGUAGUGUAGUUAACACCUGCAUUAUUUGUACGUUACCUACAGAAGAAGCACCGGCUAACUCCGUGCCAGCAGCCGCGGUAAGUACGGAGGGUGCGAGCGUUAAUCGGAAUUACUGGGCGUAAAGCGCAUGCAGGCGGCCUGUUAAGUCAGAUGUGAAAGCCCGGGGCUUAACCUCGGAAUUGCAUUUGAAACUGGCAGGCUAGAGUCUUGUAGAGGGGUUAGGAAUUUCAGGUGUAGCGGUGAAAUGCGUAGAGAUCUGAAGG
RNAcentral lists this ribosomal RNA (379 nucleotides) under uncultured bacterium. RNAcentral describes it as "bacterial SSU rRNA". It matches the Rfam family "Bacterial small subunit ribosomal RNA", at positions 335 to 704 of the family's 1533-position model. The record is from RNAcentral.